Non-coding RNA from Camellia sinensis, 2188 nucleotides. The record is from RefSeq and is a predicted model, not a curated record. NCBI's taxonomy places the organism in Eukaryota, Viridiplantae, Streptophyta, Magnoliopsida, Ericales, Theaceae.
UGCUUGCCAAAGCUACUCAACAAAACUCAUGUAGGAGAGAUGUUUUAUCAAACAGUUCAAAGACGUUGAAAGUACUAUUUCAGAACCUCAAAAUUUUCCCAUGCAAAACAAAGGAGUGAAAUAAUAAAAUCCGCCAAAAACUGAUUCAAAGAAUAAUUGCUUUCAUUGAAAAUGUUCCAUUGAGAAUAGAGAACAGAAGGGGUGUGGAAAGCUAACAUUCAAUUCUGUUGUUCAUGAAUGAGAAGAGAGACAUUUAUACUAUUUAGCAAAACAGCAUAUGGAAGUUGCAUCUGCAAGUUAUUUUUUGGGUUAUGGGAGGUAGAAUGUUGUACAAAUAAAUUAUUUUACUGAUUUUAAAACUCAAUCAAAAAAACAUUUGUUUCAGGAAAUGUUUUACAUCUAAACAAGUAGAGCGUGGUGUUUCAAGAUUUUUCUUGGUUGCCAGUUGAAGGAAUUUCCAUUUAACAAAGCAAAUGCUUUUGCUAGCCUCGAACAAUCAUAGUUGUGUCAUGAUCAUUGUUUUUUUUCUCUUCUUCUAUGUUCUAUAUGAACUCUCUCUUGAAUGGAAAGAUACUCCAUGUGCCGUGGAAAUACUAGCCUUUCAGCACAUCAUCGGCUCAUCACAAUUUCACUCGUUGAUGCCUUUUAAGGUUUUUCUCACUUGGUUGUACUCCUCUUUUGGAGACAAAUCGUUUAAAAUUCACAAUACAUAAAAAGGGAGACAAAUGUGCCUUUGAUAGAGUCGAGGUUGACAAUGAAAUUAUGUAUACAAAAGGGCUUCAGAAAAAUAGACACUGAUCACUGGGAAUUUGCGAACGAUCAAUUUGUCAAAGGCCAAAAGCAGUUGUUGAACAAUAUCUGUAGAAGGAAACAGUCUCAGGUCAUGGCUCAGCGGAAAUCAUCUCAGCAAAAGGACAAGAGUGUUGGAGCAUGUGAGAAAUCGUCUGAGCAUAAGGACAAGAGUGUUGAAGCACAUGAAGAAGACAAGUAUGUCAGGUUGUGGAAAGAAGUUGAGAGUCUCAAGACUGGUAAGAACGCUCUCAUGCAGGAGCUCAUUAAGCUCAGGCAGCACCAGCAGACCUCACAGAGCAAGCUGGUAGUCCUUGGAGAACAACUUAAAGGUAUGGAAAAAAAUCAACAGCAAAUGCUCUCAUUUAUAGUGAUGGCCAUGCAAAGUCCUGGGCUUUUGAUUAAGCUGCUUCAGCCAAAAGAAAAUAAUUGGCGAAUGGCUGAAUCAAACAUGAGUGUACUCAAGCGAGUUACGGAUGAUCACGUAACAGUUCCUUCUGAUGGAACAAUAGUGAGGUAUCAGCCGCCAAUGGAUCAAUCUCCCGAACCACUAUGCACGCCAACUUUAGAUUCAGAAACAUCAUUGGAAUCAGAGCUUUCUUCCGAUGAACUGAGAGAUUUUUUUAUGAAUAUUGAUUUCCCCUCAGGACUGUUGGAUGAAAAAUUACUUUCGUCGGAAAGUCACGGGCCGAUUUCUCUUCCAUAUCUGUCUGAUGACGACUCUAUUUUGGAACAGCUUCUUUUGUCUAGUCCAUUGACAGAGAAUAAGGAAGAAGAUGAGCAUGACAAUGCAGAACUUGAUUCUGGAAUGGAAAUUGAAGAGAUGGAAAGAAUGGUGUUUGGGACUCAACAGGGUGAAAACCAAAAUUUGGAAAUUCUAACUGAUCAAAUGGGACUUCUAGCUUCUGAAUGCGACCUCCAAACACCAUAACGUGUUUUACUUUGACAGUGAAGAAUAUUAGGAAAGUUUCUGAAGCUUUUUGGUACUUCUAUAGCCACUAUGGCACAACUCAUAAUCGAAAAAAACAUAUUUUGACUGCAUGACCAUGGCUUUAUGCGAUUGUUAUCAGAUUGAAUUUCAGAUAAAAGCGCGUGGCGGGAUUCUCUCUCUUACAUUUGUUUUUGGGGAACAGCAUGGUAGUAAGUUUUCAUUUUUCUUUUGUGAUUUGUAAUUUCUCUACAGCUCUUUGAAGAAACUGAAUUAAAGGAAGGAGUUCUAAAUGCUCUUUGUAAUUUCCCUUUUUUCCUUCGAGAAAAAAAAAUGUUGCUAUAUCAGUUGGAUAGUUCCUCAGUAUUAUGGAACUUACGGUACAUAUAUACAUGUUCUAUGGUUGUUUAGACAGACCUUCUCAACAGUUGUUCCCAUAUGCCAAGUACAAUUGAAUUCGUUUUGGGUAAA